GAGUCGCGCGCUGGGAAAUGUUCCCCGUCAUCCUCAUGGAGGGAAACACACUUCAAACAACCACCGGAGUUAUUCUUUGAGGAGUGAAACCAAGAGACCCGCUGCCAUUCAUUUGUGUUGUUUUGUCUACUAAAUCGGCUUUUUUUUGGGGGGGGGUGGAGGUGGAAUCCACAGGUUCUUCCUCGUUUUCUUUUUUUGUGCUUCUUCUUCUUCUUUUUCUGUCUGGAUCCGGACCGAGUGAAAGCAGCAGCGGGAGGACCGCGGCGUCGCUCGCUCUUCGUGGGCGUGUUUAAUGUCACCGGAGUGGAGCGAAUGAUGAAGUUAGUGCGUUUCGGAGACAAGCGGGGGUGUCGUCGUCAAUGAGCACGUAGAGAUGUCACAGCCUCGUUCGUGAAACUCUUCUUCGUCGUUUUGAAAUCGGUCGUGGGAUUUUAUUUGCUGGGAAGUUUACCUGCGCGCGCUCAUCUGCCGAGGAAGAGGAGGAGCUGUCCGUGGUCCUGAAGUCAUUCCAACAACUCCUGCUAUCUGCUUCCUCCUGGCCUUGAACACAACUUCAGGGUUUCUGUUGGAAGCAGCAGCUGGAGGGGGACACUGUCUGCCAGCAGCUCCCAACAACAAAACAACAGAAGAGCCUAAUAUGGUCACUCAUACCAGAGUUCAUCUGCAAACGUUGGUACUUUUAAUUUGUAUUGUCCACCCGAGCCGGCCGGUGUGCGUCGAUGUCCCGUCGGAGACCGACGCCGUCCUGGGGAACUCCAUGAAGUUGACCUGCAUUUACUGCAUGAAGAGGGAUGAGAUCAAAGCAAAGACGCGCGUGAAUUGGUACUUCAAGCCAAACGAAGAAGAAGGCUUCAAGUCGAACAAAACUCACAUAUACAAGUAUGAAAUCAACAGAACGGUGGAGCUGGACGGACCGUUUAAGGGCCGUCUGGCCUGGAACGGGAGCCAGGACCUGCAAGAGGUCUCCAUUCGCAUCAUCAACGUCACCUUCAACGACAGCGGCGUGUACGAGUGCAACGUCUCCCGCGAGUUUGAGUUCGACUUCUACAAACCGUCGGCCUUCAUCGUCAAGACCAUCCAGCUGAAGGUGGAAGCGAAAGCCACGGGGAGCGCCGCGGCGCUCUACUCUGAGGUCAUGAUGUAUGUGCUGCUGGUGUGCCUGACCUUCUGGCUGCUGGUGGAGAUGGUCUACUGCUACCGGAAGAUCUCCCAGUCGGACGAGGAGACGCAGGACGCAGCUGUGUAGACGUUCUCUUACACUCGGUCCGAGGGCGGGGCUUCUCCCCGAUGACGCGGCUCAUCGGCUCCCCAACGCCCACAACGGAAUCGUGUCGUGUUCAAACCCUCAACCGCCACUACUUUAUGGUUCAUGACACUAACCAAUCACGAUGGACCUUCGAUUGGCAGUUAAAGGCAUAAAGUCCACGAGCUCGUCUUCGCUGCUAUAAAGGCGUCGUCGCUUCCAGGCGGCCGCGGGAAUCCAACUGACCUGGAGUGCUAAUUUUUACUCCUCCUUUCCUCACAUUCUUUGUUUUUUUUCUUCCUUUGUGUCAUCUUUUCUUCCUUCAGGCAUCUGAAAUGAAGUGUUUUCUCAAAUACGGCAGGUUAAAGAACAAACACCUGCACUUAUUAUCAGAUAAAUACCAGCCAUGCUUCACUUGGACCUGCCAGAGUAAACAUAUAUUUAUGUGUAUGUAUAUAUAUAUAGAUAUAUAUAUAUACUGAAUAUUUACUUCGUUAGUGGUGUCUCUUAUAACCUAUAAAUGAGAUAAAAGAUGAAAUAAACUGUCCUCCUGGCUGUUGUACACAACUUAAAUAUCAAAUAUGUUGUUCUGGUUAAUUUAGUUUCAUUACAAUUUUAUAGACCAUGCUUGGAUUUUCAGGUCAGUCAUAUUUGUUCUGGCCUAUGUCUUUUUAAUUAGUUUUUAUACUGUAUGGAUGUGUAUUUAUUCCCAUUUUUUGCAGUGUGCGUCUCUGAAAACCACAAUGUUAUGGAACAUAUAGAGACCUCUAUGUUGUAUUAGGUCUCUCGAUAUGAGUCGAUAUAUAUAUUCAUCUCGAGGUCAUUAGGUAUAAAUCUAUAAUCUGAUCUAAAAUAUAUUCUGCUGGUGUUGUGUGCGCCGCUAUGUAGAAAUAUGUAUAUUAUUUCUGAUCCAAUCAUAACACGCUGCUUUUUUUCCAAUUACGGAUAUGUAUGAGUGAGCUCCUUUCUGAACUAUUAAAUGCAAUGCAUUCCAUAUUCUAUGUUCAAAAGUUAUUACUUCUGUUUGAGUGUUAAGUGUUAUUGAAGUUGCACAAGGAUAAAGAAAAAAUAAAGAAAAAAGAAUGCUUA
Pseudoliparis swirei is the source of this 2332-nucleotide RNA transcript. It is a transcript of the gene named sodium channel, voltage-gated, type III, beta, with no coding region annotated. The record is from RefSeq and is a predicted model, not a curated record. NCBI's taxonomy places the organism in Eukaryota, Metazoa, Chordata, Actinopteri, Perciformes, Liparidae. The transcript is spliced from 6 exons.